RNAcentral lists this ribosomal RNA (519 nucleotides) under Willowsia qui. RNAcentral's name for it is "partial 16S ribosomal RNA". It matches the Rfam family "Bacterial large subunit ribosomal RNA", at positions 1795 to 2620 of the family's 2925-position model. The record is from RNAcentral. Lineage: Eukaryota; Metazoa; Arthropoda; Collembola; Entomobryomorpha; Entomobryidae.
UCGACUGUUUUACAAAAACAUUUCUUUUUGUUUUUUUAAAAAGUAAAACCUGCCCACUGAUUUUUAAAGGGCCGCGGUAUUAUGACCGUGCUAAGGUAGCAUAAUCAUUAGUCUCCUAAUUAGGGAAUUGUAUGAAUGGUUAAACUUAGAGAUAUUUUGUUUUUAUUAAAUUUUUAAUUUUAAUUUUAUUUGAAAAUGAAUAAAUUUUUCUAUUAGACGAUAAGACCCUAUAGAGCUUAAUAUUUUUGUGUUAUAUAUUUUAUGGGGGUAGAACAUAUAAUAUAAAAAUAUUUAGUUGGGGCAACUAAAGAAUAAAUAAAACUUCUUUUUAUAAAAAAUCCUUAAUUUUUGAAUUAAAAAAGUUACCUUAGGGAUAACAGCGUAAUGAUUAUUAAGAGUUCUUAUCGACAUAAUUGUUUGCGACCUCGAUGUUGAAUUAAAAUUUCUUUAAGGAGCAGUAUUUUUAUAAGGUGGUCUGUUCGACCAUUAAAUUUUUACAUGAUUUGAGUCCAGACCAGA